Molecule: ribosomal RNA, 402 nt
Filed under: uncultured bacterium
Lineage: Bacteria
Description: bacterial SSU rRNA
Rfam family: Bacterial small subunit ribosomal RNA
Source: RNAcentral
UGGGGAAUAUUGCACAAUGGGGGAAACCCUGAUGCAGCGACGCCGCGUGAGUGAAGAAGUAUUUCGGUAUGUAAAGCUCUAUCAGCAGGGAAGAAAAUGACGGUACCUGACUAAGAAGCCCCGGCUAACUACGUGCCAGCAGCCGCGGUAAUACGUAGGGGGCAAGCGUUAUCCGGAUUUACUGGGUGUAAAGGGAGCGUAGACGGCGCGGCAAGUCUGAAGUGAAAGCCCGGGGCUUAACCCCGGGACUGCUUUGGAAACUGCCAUGCUAGAGUGCUGGAGAGGUAAGUGGAAUUCCUAGUGUAGCGGUGAAAUGCGUAGAUAUUAGGAGGAACACCAGUGGCGAAGGCGGCUUACUGGACAGUAACUGACGUUGAGGCUCGAAGGCGUGGGGAGCAAACA